Molecule: ribosomal RNA, 484 nt
Filed under: uncultured bacterium
Lineage: Bacteria
Description: partial 16S ribosomal RNA
Rfam family: Bacterial small subunit ribosomal RNA
Source: RNAcentral
AUUGAACGCUGGCGGCAUGCUUUACACAUGCCAGUCGAACGGCAGCGCGGGCUUCGGCCUGGCGGCGAGUGGCGAACGGGUGAGUAAUACAUCGGAACGUGCCCAGUAGUGGGGGAUAGCUCGGCGAAAGCCGGAUUAAUACCGCAUACGACCUGAGGGUGAAAGCGGGGGAUCUUCGGACCUCGCGCUAUUGGAGCGGCCGAUGGCAGAUUAGCUAGUUGGUGGGGUAAAGGCCUACCAAGGCGACGAUCUGUAGCUGGUCUGAGAGGACGACCAGCCACACUGGGACUGAGACACGGCCCAGACUCCUACGGGAGGCAGCAGUGGGGAAUGUUGGACAAUGGGCGAAAGCCUGAUCCAGCAAUGCCGCGUGUGUGAUGAAGGCCUUCGGGUUGUAAAGCACUUUUGGCGGGAACGAAAAGGACUGUGCCAAUACCACGGUUGGAUGACGGUACCCGCAGAAUAAGCACCGGCUAACUACGUG